RNAcentral lists this ribosomal RNA (253 nucleotides) under uncultured bacterium. RNAcentral's name for it is "partial 16S ribosomal RNA". It matches the Rfam family "Bacterial small subunit ribosomal RNA", at positions 524 to 776 of the family's 1533-position model. The record is from RNAcentral.
UACGAAGGGUGCUAGCGUUGUUCGGAAUCACUGGGCGUAAAGCGCGCGUAGGCGGCGCAGCAAGUCAGGGGUGAAAUCCCAGAGCUUAACUCUGGAAUUGCCUUUGAAACUGCUGCGCUGGAGUGUCGGAGGGGAUGGCGGAAUUGCUAAUGUAGAGGUGAAAUUCGUAGAUAUUAGCAGGAACACCGGUGGCGAAGGCGGCCAUCUGGACGACAACUGACGCUGAGGCGCGAAAGCGUGGGGAUCAAACAGG